GCCCCUAUAGCUCAGUGGUAGAGCACCCGCUCAGUAAGCGGAAGGUCGGUAGUUCACUCCUGCCGUGGUGGGCA
RNAcentral lists this transfer RNA (74 nucleotides) under Phytophthora infestans T30-4. Its description in RNAcentral is "tRNA-Thr". The stretch from base 8 to 64 matches the Rfam family "tRNA", at positions 8 to 63 of the family's 71-position model. From Rfam's summary of the family: Transfer RNA (tRNA) molecules are approximately 80 nucleotides in length. The record is from RNAcentral. Lineage: Eukaryota; Oomycota; Peronosporomycetes; Peronosporales; Peronosporaceae.